GACGGACGCUGGCGGCGUGCUUAACACAUGCAAGUCGAACGGAAAGGCCCUGCUUUUGUGGGGUGCUCGAGUGGCGAACGGGUGAGUAACACGUGAGUAACCUGCCCUUGACUUUGGGAUAACUUCAGGAAACUGGGGCUAAUACCGGAUAGGAGCUCCUGCUGCAUGGUGGGGGUUGGAAAGUUUCGGCGGUUGGGGAUGGACUCGCGGCUUAUCAGCUUGUUGGUGGGGUAGUGGCUUACCAAGGCUUUGACGGGUAGCCGGCCUGAGAGGGUGACCGGCAACAUUGGGACUGAGAUACGGCCCAGACUCCUACGGGAGGCAGCAGUGGGGAAUAUUGCACAAUGGGCGGAAGCCUGAUGCAGCAACGCCGCGUGCGGGAUGACGGCCUUCGGGUUGUAAACCGCUUUCGCCUGUGACGAAGCGUGAGUGACGGUAAUGGGUAAAGAAGCACCGGCUAACUACGUG
This 468-nucleotide ribosomal RNA is filed under the name uncultured bacterium. Its description in RNAcentral is "partial 16S ribosomal RNA". It matches the Rfam family "Bacterial small subunit ribosomal RNA", at positions 28 to 507 of the family's 1533-position model. The record is from RNAcentral.